This is a long non-coding RNA of Cynocephalus volans (Philippine flying lemur), 1603 nucleotides long. RefSeq lists it as uncharacterized. Lineage: Eukaryota; Metazoa; Chordata; Mammalia; Dermoptera; Cynocephalidae. The record is from RefSeq and is a predicted model, not a curated record. The transcript is spliced from 4 exons.
ACACACGCAUACAGCUUCCCAAAGACGAUGAGAAACACGUUAAGACUGACAACAAAAUCAUUACAAAAAAAAAAAGAGAGAGAGAGAUCAUUUGGGGUUACUUGAGAAGGCGGGGAAGGGGUUAGAUAAUGCUUUCUGAAUUUCUUCUGAGCACAGUGUACCAAGAGAGGAACCUUGAAGAUCUAGAGAUUCCUUCAUAUGUAUGGCCCCAGAGGCGAGGUGCUAGCCUCUGGCACUUGUUGGAGAGCAAAGGAGCGGGACAAAAUUCGCCCAGCUCAGUCCCCCGACCGCCACGUUCGGGACACCCAAUAACCAGCAACGUCCCCAAGCCUGGGUGGGGCGGCGAAGGGUCAAGAAGGGAGGCCCAGGAGCCGCAGCCAGGAGCCGCAGCCAGAAGCCGCGCUGAUGCCGCGUGGCACCGGAGAGGUGGCUGCGGAUCCGGCUCCGAGAGAACGAGGGGAAGACGCAGGUUGUCAUCAGCGCCGCCCACCCGACCUGCUCACCGAAGCCGAGGAAGCACAUCAGCAGCAGCACCAGCAGCCGGUGCGCCAGGCGGCUGGGGUCGCAGAGUGCCGGCAGCGCCCGCGGGGCGGCACGGGCGCCUUCUCCCGCCGCGGCAGGGCCGCCCGGCAGCAGCGCCCGCGCCUCCUCGUCCUCCUCCUCCAUCGUGCCGGCGGCGGGGCUACAGGCGAAAGCGGUAGCCGCUGGGGGACCCGGCAGGAAGAGCCGCCGCCAGAGCCCAGGCAAGACUCUGCGGUCACGUGCAGGCGGGCGCUCACGUGACGCCGCGGCGGGCCACGCUCACGUGGGCAGGAUCACGUGGACCGGAUCACGUGCGGGGCAGCUUGGCGGGAGGGGCGCGCUGCGGGCCGCCCUCCCCGGGCCAAUGUGUCCCUGCGGCCGCGCCUCCUCCGGCCCGCGCCCCGCCUCCCCCGCUGGCCUCGUCGCCCGGUCCUUUCCUGCCCUGCCCACGCACACGCGCAUUUCGGAUCGGCGCAACUCCGCCCGGGCAAGUGUGGGCCUGCCGCUCGCCUCGGCACCCGACUCCUCCCGGGUGAUCCGACCUGCGCUAGGAACAUGAAGAACGCGCUGCCCUGUUCGCAGCACUGCUCUCCUCGGCGCCCUUGACUUGAUGGAGCGCUUGCUGAUGUGCCCAGCCGUGUGCCAGGUACUGCGAAUACAAAAUAGAAUGAGACACGCUAUCUGACCUCAAAGAGUUCAGGGUUUAGUUGGAGAGGUGAACAGAAACCGAUACACGAUACGAUGCAUGAACCAACGGAUGUGAAAGGCCCUAACCAGACACCAAAUGUGCCAGUGCCUUGAUCUUGGACUUCCCAUCCUCCAGAACUGUAAGGUAAGCUGUGGCAACCCCAUUCUCCCAGGAAAGAAAAGGAGGGAGACAAAGACGUCAAGGGCAAGAUGACUCAGGAGGAAUAGAGGCAAAGAGAAAGUGUGUUGCUGAGGAAGUUGAGGAUGUCCCGUGUGAACCCACAGGGAGAGGACUCUUAGAAGUUUGUGCCUGAUUUCCUCCAGAUUUCAGCCCAUGAGCCUUUUCCUUCUGCUGAUUUUGCUGUGUAUCCAUUCUCUUUAAUAAAUCAUAAUC